GGGGUUUUUUUUUUUUUUCCCUCGCUGGGAGGUUUUCUGGAGGAAUUGGGGCGCGUGAGCGCAUUAAGUUAUAGGGAAACCCCGAAUUCCUCAGAGGUGGCUGGGGCCGCAUUCUAGACUGUGGUUCCGAAACCAGCUGUGAAUCGCUGUGAGCCUCAUUGGGAUGAUUCUCACCCCUGUGCUGGAUGGUGCCAAAUUCUGAACACCAGUGGCCUACUCGUGGCCUCCAGGUCCUCUGAGACAAACACCCAUCGUCCUUUGUCUGACCAACUCUUACACGUCAAUCACCGGCAAUUUGGACGCCACCUCCUCCGGGAAAUUUCCCUGGAUCUUCAGAAGGUUGCUCUUUGCCUGAGGAUGGAUGUCAGUUGCUGGGUUCGUGCACCUUCCUUCUGCCCCACCAGUCCAUGGUCCAAAUAUAAGAUCCUUUAAACUCCCGUAUGAACCCCUCUAAUCCAAGCCUCUGCAUAAGCCGUUCUACUUUGUUGCACCCUCAUAUUCAACUGAGACUGUUGAAGCUGAGCUCUGGAGAGGACUCCAUCCAGUACCGGCAAACACAUGGCGUUCCUGCCGUCACCACCUCAUCCUUUGUCCAGUUCACGCUCAACGACUGACCACACAAGGCUCGUUAAAAAAGAUUCUUAUUUGGUGAGUCUGGGUGUUUUGCCUGAUGCCCUGGCAGGCCACAGCAAGCCUCCUUCCCUGCUUCCUGAUGUUUGCUUCCUUUAUGUGCUGUUGGGAACUGCACACAAGGCUUCCUGCAUGCUAGGCAGGAGGCAUUCAACGGACUCACAACAGGCCUGCAUCAGCCUUUCAAUCUCUGACUCAACAAUGUGCUAGCACACUUGGUCUGUUGAUCAUCACUGAUCAAGUCCAAAGAUCCUUCUUCCAGUCUUUCUCUGUUACUUUAAAAGAAGGAGAAAGGAUUUGCCGAAUCAGAUUACCAGUUGGCCAGGGAGUUUGAUUGCCAACCACACAUCCUGUCUCUUGUCUUGGGGUACUGGAGCUACAAAGAAGGCUUCCCUAAGAACCAGAGAAGCACCCACUUAAGGGAAGAGAUAAAUUACCUAAGGAGAGUGCCAAAGCACCUCCCACCCCCGCCCCGGCAACCACAGAACUGCUAUGUAGAAGUCUAAGCUGGGGCCCUAUUUUAUGGUGCAUGCCUGUGAUUCCAGUAUGAGGUAGACUGAGGCAGAAGGGCUCCAGCAAAUGUGGUUAUGUCUCAAUAUUCCCUUUACUUUAGUCCCUAAGCAGUGCACCCCAAAACCCAUCAAAGUGCUGGCCAGCCCUUCCUUCCAGCCCUAGCCUAGGAUCCCAGCAGGAGCUGUCAAAAUGGCAGCACCACAGCAGCCCCUCAGCCUACACCCUUGGUGAAACACCACUGCAGGAGCUGUCUACACUGGAAGCAGGUCCUCUCCAUCCUCCCCAAGCAGCUCCACAGAGAUGGCACCUCAGCCAUGAUAGCCUGCAGCCAAGAAGGACUUCUGAUCCUAACCCAUGGGCCCAAUGAAAAGGUGAUGAAAAAGCCACCGAUCCCUGAGCUUCUCAAGCUCAGGACUUGAAAUCCCACCAAUCUUCAAUCUAGAAAUCUCUGCUCUGAGAAGCUCCACCCUCUAAGAAGUCCUAUAUAAGCCCUUCCCUUCCUCCAAUUCCUGCUGUCUGAUCCCAGGAGCGGAGGGCAGCCAUCUGUGGAUGUCUCUCCACCGUGGACCCUCCAAUAAAUCUCUUUCAUGAAA
Non-coding RNA from Arvicanthis niloticus (Nile rat), 1736 nucleotides. The record is from RefSeq and is a predicted model, not a curated record. Lineage: Eukaryota; Metazoa; Chordata; Mammalia; Rodentia; Muridae.